UCGCUUUUCUUCUUGGUUUUGCUCUAAGAGUUAACUUCUUGUGGUGUUGGUUUUAUUUCUCUAAAGGUAAUAUCUGCAAAGGGGUUUAGUUGCCCUUCUCUCCUCCCAGUAAAGGAGCUCACAGAUUUGGUGAUAUCUGGCAGUUCUCCUAAAACCCAUCCUGCAAAGAAUCUCUGCUGUCUGAUGUGUGCCAGUGGCCGGGUUCCUCCCCGUGGCCGUUUCUGGAUGGACACAGCAUGAACCCAGGGAGGCCCCAGUUGUGUGGGAUCCUGCAGGGUUUCCAGGCCAGGGAUUCAGUUCAGCUCUGUCAGUAUCCGUGGGAAACGAGACAUCACACCGAAACGUGGGGUGAGAUGCAGGACGCUGAGAGAUGCUCACGACAAUUUUGUGUCUCCUGUACAAAACCCAGAAACUCGGUAACGGAGAGAGAUAAAUGUAGUGGUUGAUUACGGUGGAUGUAUUGCAGUUAUAAACAGCAUCUCUGACCAUUCGGCUCUGAGUUUCUGGAGCAAUAACUGCUGUAUGGAAGGAGUGUUUAUUAAUAAAGACUUGAAAGUUGUACGAUGUGGUGAGAGCGUCUCUGGUGACAAACAGGCAGCACAGGGAGGAAUUGCACGGCCCCGGUAUCGCAACGCGGAUCCCAGCACCGGGCUCCUCUUCUCAACGCGCCGUGACACCCCUUCCUCCAGGACACCUCUCCUCCGCGCAGCUCCUGCUGCUGCAGGUACACAAAACUGCACCAGAAAUGGCUGUCUUAAAAAUGAACGAUGAUUCAUCGAUUUCGGACUGUAGAAACAGAUGUCUGUAAUUUAACUAAUACCCAUUACAAGAUGCCGUGCAGACUCUGGGCUCUCAGGAGAAGGGCCUGACCCCUCCUUCCCUUGGGUGCAGCCCAGAGAGUGAAGGCACCGCUUCUCUGCAGGUGCCUGAGGUGUCUCCGCUGAGGACGUGGCUGUCCCUCUUCUGCCUCCGUCCUUCGGCCUCAGCGAGGUCAGGGCCUGGCCAGUGAGGGAGAGGAGGCCCCCAGCCCGGGCUUGUUCCCUGCCAGGGAUGGCUGUUUGUGUGGGGAACCUCAGACUGGGGAUAACUGCCAUGGCUGCUGGCUCGCUCAAGGCUGGGCUUGUGGUGGUCCUUUAGUGCUGGCCAAGCUUUGAACCUGGUGACUCUUACAGGAACAUCUCAGGGUGCCAUUAGAGUCCUGCUCCCUGUCACUUGGUUCUGCUCAGCCACUGCCCAUCGCUCAGGCUAAAGGUAACGACAGGAGACAAGGAGGAGCUGUACCUGAGCCAUCACAAAACCAUUGGCUGCACCGCUAUCUGCGAUGAACGCUGCCCAGGUGACAAUGGUGUCUCGUGAAGGCCAGUCUCUCUGCAGAGGGUCUGGCACUGUCCCCCAAACCGGGUCCUGUGGGUGGCACAAAACGAGGCACAGGGGUCUGGCAUCACCCCUCCAGCCCCGCUGUCCCCGGGGCUCAUCCCACUGCCCGUUCAUUGUCCAUUUUAGCUCUUCUCCACCUCUGCAGUCUCUUUGAUUCUUUUCUUCAUCAUCCUUUCUUCUCUGCCCUCACAACCAACCUCCUCAGCACAAACACUCCCUAAAUUUUUAGCUAUGAGAAGUAUUAAAACCAGAGUUUCUGCAAUAUCUGGGCAACAUAAGCCCCUGAUAAUCCUGUUCCUACGUUCUUUGACUCCUGCCUCUGUUGGAGGCGUCACUUGUCCCGGUUGCAGCUGAGCUGAGGACAAGUGGGGGAAACAGACUGCAUAUUUUAGUAUUUGUAAAUCAUUAGACUGGGGAGGUUUUGUAAUAAUCUUAUCGUUUGUAAUAAUCUUAUCUCCUUUUUUUGUAUUUUCUUGUAUUUUCCUAGCAAUCAACAGUAUCACUGGCAUUUUGUAAAACCCUAAUAGCCUUCCAGGGUGUAAAGCUUGGGCACAAGGCGACAGUGGGGCCAUACCAGGACUGCAGUGGUGUCCCCAUGGGUCACUAUAAGCUUCUCUGUGAACGCUGACCAUCCGCACGGGGCUUUUAUCAGCCCUGCAAAAAAAUAACCUUUUAUCUGGUGGUUCAGUUCUCUUAUCAUCCAGAGCUUGUUUACUGAGUUUUAGGUCUUGGGCAAGACGGAGCAAGCUCAUGAGGAGUAGCUGGUUUUGGGGAGAUACCAGCUCCAGAUAACCGGGGACAAGUAAAGCACACACCAAUAUUGAAAUCACUCGGUUUUAUUGCAGCUGACUGAGACAGAGUGUGCUCUGAGGCUGGGAAAUUUCCAUUACUGGAGUGCAGGACAGUGCCUGGAUACUGCUGCUACUGCAGCUGAGAAAUAAAAGCAAGCUAAUUUUAUACAGACAGCAACAAAAUGUCAGUAUAUUAAUUAAAAUUGUUAGCAUUCUAUAAUAAGCUUUUAAGGUUGCUGCAAAAUGGACCCCUUUUAAAAUAUUUAGAGUAUAAAUGUAAACUAGUUGUAUGAAACUAAGGAACAUAAAAAUGGCUUGAAAUUGCAAUUGUGUUUUCAAACUGUAUGUGUGACCAGCAAAUCUAACGAGAGCAUGACAGAUAAUACGGGAUAAUAACAACAAUACAGUGACAGACUCUGAGGGAACAGUGCCUAGUGCAAGAUCAAGGUCAUUACUGGCAGUUUAGUUCUGUGAUUAAUGAUCUUUUGUGCUCCCCUUGGCAUGCACAAAACAAACACAGAAUCUGUUUGCUGGGCUUAACUCCGUGGUGUAUACACCACCGAGGGCUCCCUGCAAAGUCGGUCUGAACCUGACUGGGGAAAAAAGGAAACACUGGGGUGGGGGGGAAGUAAAUUUGUUUUGGUGUCAGUUGCCCAACAAUUUGGGCGAGAGACUGUUUUUAACUUCCUAAAGGCACAAGACUAUGCAGGAAUCCUCACUUUCGCUGGGGUCACCUUACGCUGUCAGAGCAGUGGCCGACAUUGAACUGGCAGUGAGUGUCUGGGACCACAGCAGUGUGUCACCAGCAAAACUCAGCCCAGGCAGCUAUUGGUGUCUCAGGCUCUUCAUGAAUCCUGGGAGAGCUCCCCGUGGAUCAGAGCUCAGAUCUAAGCAAUUUCGGUUUGUGUCACAUUCAUCACCAUGGUUCCUGAGUGCCUUAGAAGUUAAAAUAUAUCUUUAUAAAACA
Molecule: long non-coding RNA, 3135 nt
Organism: Calidris pugnax (ruff)
Lineage: Eukaryota; Metazoa; Chordata; Aves; Charadriiformes; Scolopacidae
Exons: 4
Source: RefSeq, a predicted model, not a curated record